This 784-nucleotide ribosomal RNA is filed under the name uncultured bacterium. Its description in RNAcentral is "bacterial SSU rRNA". It matches the Rfam family "Bacterial small subunit ribosomal RNA", at positions 8 to 796 of the family's 1533-position model. The record is from RNAcentral.
AGAGUUUGAUCAUGGCUCAGAAUCAACGCUGGCGGCGUGCCUAACACAUGCAAGUCGAGCGAGAAAAGGGGGGCAACUCCCUGAGUAAAGCGGCGCACGGGUGAGUAACACGUGGGUAAUCUGCCCUGGAGUGGGGAAUAACACCGGGAAACCGGUGCUAAUACCGCAUACGAUCACAGAGUCUGCGGAUUUUGUGAUGAAAGGAGCAAUUCGCUCUAGGAGGAGCCCGCGGCUGAUUAGCUAGUUGGUGAGGUAAUGGCUCACCAAGGCUACGAUCAGUAUCCGGUCUGAGAGGACGGUCGGACACACUGGAACUGAGACACGGUCCAGACUCCUACGGGAGGCAGCAGUGGGGAAUUUUUGGCAAUGGGGGCAACCCUGACCAAGCAACGCCGCGUGGGUGAUGAAGUCUCUUGGGACGUAAAACCCUUUCGACGGGGAAGAAAACCGCAAGGUUUGACGGUACCCGUAGAAGAAGCCCCGGCUAACUCCGUGCCAGCAGCCGCGGUAAUACGGGGGGGGCAAGCGUUGUUCGGAAUUACUGGGCGUAAAGGGCGCGUAGGCGGCUCGCUAAGUUGGAUGUGAAAACUCUGGGCCCAACCCAGAGCCUGCAUCCAAAACUGGCGGGCUAGAGUUCUGGAGGGGGUAGCGGAAUUCCUGGUGUAGCGGUGAAAUGCGUAGAUAUCAGGAGGAACACCGGUGGCGAAGGCGGCUACCUGGACAGAAACCGACGCUGAGGCGCGAAAGCUAGGGGAGCAAACAGGAUUAGAUACCCUAGUAGUCC